This 153-nucleotide ribosomal RNA is filed under the name uncultured Caulobacter sp. RNAcentral describes it as "partial 16S ribosomal RNA". It matches the Rfam family "Bacterial small subunit ribosomal RNA", at positions 355 to 525 of the family's 1533-position model. Lineage: Bacteria; Pseudomonadati; Pseudomonadota; Alphaproteobacteria; Caulobacterales; Caulobacteraceae. The record is from RNAcentral.
UGGGGAAUAUUGGACAAUGGGCGCAAGCCUGAUCCAGCCAUGCCGCGUGAGUGAUGAAGGCCCUAGGGUUGUAAAGCUCUUUCACCGGUGAAGAUAAUGACGGUAACCGGAGAAGAAGCCCCGGCUAACUACGUGCCAGCAGCCGCGGUAAUA